AGGCAGUGCACUGAUUUCUGACGUACAAUCCAACGUGAUGGGGACCCUGCCUGUAAGAGGAGAUGUAGACAGCCUGACAGGGCCGAAGCCAACUCACAAUGAGGAGAUGGACACGGUUUGGUCCCCUGGAGCUGUCCUUGUAGGUAAUCUCUGAGUAUUAAAAGGAUCAGCAAUGAAGCACUGAGCUUUUCUGAUUGCAGGUGCCAUCUGGGUAACCUUUGGGAGCAGAUGAGCAUUGGAGGUAUCCCAGAAGAUGACAGCACAUUGUCCAAGUCUGGUCAGAGCCAGUGACAUGAGGACCUGCCUCGGUGCCAUUGACUCCGAGUACUCUCCGGAUGACAGGAACCUCUGAGCCAGCCCAGGUGCCCCUCCUCUGCAUCAAAGAUGGAUUCACAUCCCCGGCUCUCGGAAAGAUAAGUGCAGGGCAAAGACCCAGAGAGGGGCUGGGAGUCGGUGCAAGUAUGUGCAUCGCCUGGAGGGAUUUUUGCAAUUAGUAUGGUGCAAUGGGUGUCCUGUAGCAGGUUAUUUAGACACCUCAAAGGAAGGGCUUACUUUGUAUCAUUGGAUUCCCAUGUGCAGGGCAGAGCAGUUCCGGUCUGUGUCACGUCCUUUGUCUCCUCCAUGUUUGUGUCCUUCGUCUCUUAAUUGUGUCACAUGGUGUGUGUCAUCACAGGUAUGGGGUGUCUCACUUGGGGUCAGCCUGGAACUGCUCUGCCCUGCUACGUGGAUCAGUGGGUAGAUAGAAUAUUGCUCAGGGUCCCACAUCAACAUGUCAGUUGCCUUAGUCAGUCGAGCCAAUGGCUGUACAG
Long non-coding RNA from Manacus vitellinus (golden-collared manakin), 809 nucleotides. RefSeq lists it as uncharacterized. The record is from RefSeq and is a predicted model, not a curated record. Lineage: Eukaryota; Metazoa; Chordata; Aves; Passeriformes; Pipridae. The transcript is spliced from 4 exons.